GACGAACGCUGGCGGCGUGCUUAACACAUGCAAGUCGAACGGAAAGGCCCUGCUUUUGUGGGGUGCUCUAGUGGCGAACGGUUGAGUAACACGUUAGUAACCUUCCCUUGACUUUGGGAUAACUUCAGGAAACUGGGGCUAAUACCGGAUAGGAGCUCCUGCUGCAUGGUGGGGGUUGGAAAGUUUCGGCGGUUGGGGAUGGACUCGCGGCUUAUCAGCUUGUUGGUGGGGUAGUGGCUUACCAAGGCUUUGACGGGUAGCCGGCCUGAGAGGGUGACCGGAAACAUUGGGACUGAGAAACGGCCAAGACUCAUACGGGAGGGAGCAGUGGAGAAUAUUGAAAGAUGGACGGAAGCCUGAUGAAGCAAAGACGCGUGCGGGAUGACGGCCUUCGGGUUGUAAAACGCUUUCGACUGUGAAGAAGAGUGAGUGAAGGUAAUGGGUAAAGAAGCACCGGAAAACUACGUG
RNAcentral lists this ribosomal RNA (468 nucleotides) under uncultured bacterium. RNAcentral's name for it is "partial 16S ribosomal RNA". It matches the Rfam family "Bacterial small subunit ribosomal RNA", at positions 28 to 507 of the family's 1533-position model. The record is from RNAcentral.